AUGUAUAAGUAUAAACGAAUUAGAUCGUGAAACCGCGAACGGCUCAUUAUAACAGCUACAAUUUACUUGAUCUUGACAAUCCUACUUGGAUAACUCUGGUAAUUCUAGAGCUAAUACAUGCACCUAAGCUCUAACCUUGCGGAAAGAGUGCAUUUAUUAGAACAAAGCCAGGCGGCCUUGGGUCGUCUUUUGUUGACUCAGAAUAACUAAGCUGAUCGCACGGUUUUGAACCGGCGACGUGUCUUUCAAGUAUCUGCCUUAUCAACUUUCGAUGGUAGUAUAUUCGACUACCAUGGUGGUGACGGGUAACGGAGAAUAAGGGUUCGACUCCGGAGAAGGGGCCUGAGAAAUGGCCACUACGUCUAAGGAUGGCAGCAGGCGCGCAAAUUACCCACUCUCGGAACGAGGAGGUAGUGACGAAAAAUAACGAGACCGUUCUCUAUGAGGCCGUUCAUCGGAAUGGGUACAAUUUAAACCCUUUAACGAGUAUCUAUGAGAGGGCAAGUCUGGUGCCAGCAGCCGCGGUAAUUCCAGCUCUCAAAAUACAUAGAAUUAUUGCUGCGGUUAAAAAGCUCGUAGUUGAAUUUGUGUUCGGGUGCUGGUCCAUCUUUGUGGUGCGCACUAGUUUCCCGAACUUUUCUGUCGGUUUUCUCGUUGUAGCCUUCACUGGUUGCUGCGGGUGGCUGGCGAUUUUACUUUGAACAAAUCAAAGUGCUUAACACAGGCGUUUCGCCUGAAUGCUCUUGCAUGGAAUAAUAGAAAAGGAUUUCGGUUCGGUUUUAUUGGUUUUAUUAACUGAAAUAAUGAUUAACAGAGACAAACCGGGGGCAUUCGUAUCGCUGCGUGAGAGGUGAAAUUCUUGGACCGCAGCGAGACGCACUACAGCGAAAGCAUUUGUCAAGAAUGUCUUCAUUAAUCAAGAACGAAAGUCAGAGGUUCGAAGGCGAUCAGAUACCGCCCUAGUUUUGACCGUAAACGAUGCCAACUAGCGAUCCGCCGGCGGUUUUUAUGCCCCGGUGGGGAGCUUCCCGGAAACGAAAGUCUUCCGGCUCCGGGGGAAGUAUGGUUGCAAAGCUGAAACUUAAAGGAAUUGACGGAAGGGCACCACCAGGAGUGGAGCCUGCGGCUUAAUUUGACUCAACACGGGGAAACUCACCCGGGCCGAACAGCAUAAGGAUUGACAUAUUGAUAGCUUUUUCAUGAUUUGGUGGAUGGUGGUGCAUGGUCGUUCUUAGUUCGUGGAUUGAUUUGUCUGGUUUAUUCCGAUAACGAGCGAGACUCUAGCCUAUUAAAUAGUUCGCACAUUGGAUUUAUGUGUGCGUUCCUAACUUCCUAAAGGGAUUUUCGGCGUUUAGCCGCAAGAGAUUGAGCAAUAACAGGUCUGUGAUGCCCUUAAAUGUCCGGGGCUGCACGCGCGCUACAAUGGCGAAAUCAGCGUGCUUUUCCUAUCUUGAAAGAGACGGGUAAACCCUUGAAAAUUUGCCAUGAUUGGGAUCGGAAAUUGCAAUUAUUUGCCGUGAACCAGGAAUUCCAAGUAAGUGCGAGUCACAAACUCGCGUUGAUUACGUCCCUGCCCUUUGUACACACCGCCCGUCGCUGCCCGGAACUGAACCAUUUCGAGAAAUUCGGGGACCGGGAAUCGCUUGCUUCUUUACGGAGUUGGCUUUUUCUGGAAACCGACUUUAUCGCAGUGGCUUGAACCGGGC
This 1706-nucleotide ribosomal RNA is filed under the name Tylenchina cf. Helionema sp. MHMH-2008. RNAcentral describes it as "partial small subunit ribosomal RNA". It matches the Rfam family "Eukaryotic small subunit ribosomal RNA". The record is from RNAcentral. Lineage: Eukaryota; Metazoa; Nematoda; Chromadorea; Rhabditida.